This 365-nucleotide ribosomal RNA is filed under the name marine bacterium SIMO-IS197. Its description in RNAcentral is "bacterial SSU rRNA". It matches the Rfam family "Bacterial small subunit ribosomal RNA", at positions 41 to 405 of the family's 1533-position model. The record is from RNAcentral. Lineage: Bacteria; Bacillati; Bacillota.
GGCGUGCCUAAUACAUGCAAGUCGAGCGAGUCCCUUCGGGGGCUAGCGGCGGACGGGUGAGUAACACGUAGGCAACCUGCCUCUCAGACUGGGAUAACAUAGGGAAACUUAUGCUAAUACCGGAUAGGUUUCUUGGAUCGCAUGAUCUGAAAAGAAAAGAUGGCUUUUCGCUAUCACUGGGAGAUGGGCCUGCGGCGCAUUAGCUAGAGUGGUGGGGUAACGGCCUACCAAGGCGACGAUGCGUAGCCGACCUGAGAGGGUGACCGGCCACACUGGGACUGAGACACGGCCCAGACUCCUACGGGAGGCAGCAGUAGGGAAUUUUCCACAAUGGACGAAAGUCUGAUGGAGCAACGCCGCGUGAA